RNAcentral lists this ribosomal RNA (253 nucleotides) under uncultured bacterium. Its description in RNAcentral is "partial 16S ribosomal RNA". It matches the Rfam family "Bacterial small subunit ribosomal RNA", at positions 524 to 776 of the family's 1533-position model. The record is from RNAcentral.
UACGUAGGUGGCAAGCGUUACUCGGAAUCACUGGGCGUAAAGCGCACGUAGGCGGUUUGAUAAGUCUGUUGUGAAAGCUCCCGGCUUAACUGGGAGAGGUCAACGGAAACUAUCAGGCUAGAGUGUGGUAGAGGUAGCUGGAAUUCCCGGUGUAGCGGUGAAAUGCGUAGAUAUCGGGAGGAAUACCUAUGGCGAAAGCAGGCUACUGGACCAUCACUGACGCUGAUGUGCGAAAGCUAGGGGAGCAAACAGG